This 1217-nucleotide long non-coding RNA is filed under the name Marmota monax (woodchuck). The record is from RNAcentral. Lineage: Eukaryota; Metazoa; Chordata; Mammalia; Rodentia; Sciuridae.
CAGCCGUUCUUCCUCGUCAGCAGGUUCCUAGCCCGUGUGUCUGGACUCCAGCCAACCCACCUGGGGCACUGGUUUCUGCUGAUCUUGCCCCUGUGACAUUGGCUCCACGUUUGCAGCCACAGCACCAGUGUCCCCAUGGAGGACCGGCUGUCCCCUGCCCACAUGUGACAGGACUCUGAAUCCAGGUGCCCUUCCUUCCUGCCACUGUCCAAGAAGUGAGGGCUCCAGAGGACAACACAAGUCCCUCCCGGUGCUGAUUCCCUGGAGAAGGUGCUCAGUGGUGUCCACUGCCUGGUCUCAGCCUGGUCUGUCCCUGUCUUCCCCAGGUGGGUGAGUGCCUCUCUUUAUCUCCUUCCUAAAUCUCCAUGUAGCUUCGUGAGCCUGCCCCAUGGGACCCCGAUAUCCUAACUGAUGUAUGUAGGGCUCUGACCCCAGAGCUGGGGGACAACUUAGAGACCAUCUGAUCUGACCCUUUUAUCCUAUAGAUGAACAAAUUGAGGCCCAGGAGUACAUUGAAGCCUGGAGAACAGACAAUGGCAAGUGUUCCUGGGUCAGCUGUUUUCUAAGCAUUGUGGCCACCUGACGACCCCACGUGAGGGCUGGUGUUCCCAUUGGGGAGGCUGGGGGCCCAGGCACUAUGGUUCAGAGUAACUCAUGCAGAUUCCAGGGCCAGGGCUGGCCUCUGGGCCCAGGCCAUCAGGUUUUGGAGCCUGAGCUAUCUCCCAAUGGCUCCUUUUCCUCCAGCGGCUUGCCAGGUGCUGUGGUUUAGAUGUGAGGUAUCCUGCAGAAGCUCUCGUGUGAGACAAUGCAAUAAUAUUAGAUUAGGAGAGUUGUGAUUCCCAUCAAUGGAUCAAGCCGCUGAUAUGGAUUAAUUAGGCAGGUAGUGUGUGGCAGGAAGAAGUAGGUCCCUGGGGGUGUGCCGUUGGUGUCAUAUUUUGCUCCUGGUAAGUGAGGAUCUCUCUCUGCUUCCUGGCUGCUGUGUCCUGAGAGGCUUCCCUCUGCCAUACCCUUCCUCCACCAUGUCCUGCCUCAUCUUGCGCCCAGAGCUGUGGAGUCAGCCAACCCUGGACUGGCUGAACCUCUGAAAUUGUGAGCCCAAAUCAACUUUUCCUCCUCGAUGUUCUGCGUAUCAGGCCUAUGGGUUCCAGUGAUGCAAAUGUUGACUAAAACACCAGGGGCAAAUCUAAGCGAGAACAUUGGAACCCAGUGCCCGUGAG